UCUCCCUGGCCCGGUGAGCGUCGCCUUGUGUGGCGUUUCAUUCGCGUGCUAGAUCUUUGACCUUCCAUCCUUUCCAGGGAGCCUUGUGUGCCGUUUACUCGGUGCGCUUGUUUUGCGAUCUGGAUCAUUUACUUUGAAAAAAUUAGAGUGUUUAAAGCAGGCUUACGCCGUGAAUACAUUAGCAUGGAAUAAUAAUCUAGGACUUCGGUUCUAUUUUGUUGGUUUCUAUAACUGAAGUAAUGAUUGAUAGGGAUAGUUGGGGGUGCUAGUAUUGGCCGGCCAGAGGUGAAAUUCUUGGAUUCGGUCAAGACUAACUUAUGCGAAAGCAUU
RNAcentral lists this ribosomal RNA (330 nucleotides) under uncultured Protaspa. RNAcentral describes it as "partial small subunit ribosomal RNA". The stretch from base 109 to 330 matches the Rfam family "Eukaryotic small subunit ribosomal RNA", at positions 732 to 955 of the family's 1831-position model. The record is from RNAcentral. Lineage: Eukaryota; Cercozoa; Thecofilosea; Cryomonadida.